This 235-nucleotide ribosomal RNA is filed under the name uncultured bacterium. RNAcentral's name for it is "partial 16S ribosomal RNA". It matches the Rfam family "Bacterial small subunit ribosomal RNA", at positions 99 to 334 of the family's 1533-position model. The record is from RNAcentral.
CGGACGGGUGAGUAACGCGUGGAUAACCUGCCUCACACUGGGGGAUAACAGUUAGAAAUGGCUGCUAAUACCGCAUAAGCGCACAGUACCGCAUGGUACGGUGUGAAAAACCCAGGUGGUGUGAGAUGGAUCCGCGUCUGAUUAGCCAGUUGGCGGGGUAACGGCCCACCGAAGCGACGAUCAGUAGCCGACCUGAGAGGGUGACCGGCCACAUUGGGACUGAGACACGGCCCAA